UAGGGAAUCUUCGGCAAUGGACGAAAGUCUGACCGAGCAACGCCGCGUGAGUGAAGAAGGUUUUCGGAUCGUAAAACUCUGUUGUUAGAGAAGAACAAGGACGUUAGUAACUGAACGUCCCCUGACGGUAUCUAACCAGAAAGCCACGGCUAACUACGUGCCAGCAGCCGCGGUAAUACGUAGGUGGCAAGCGUUGUCCGGAUUUAUUGGGCGUAAAGCGAGCGCAGGCGGUUUCUUAAGUCUGAUGUGAAAGCCCCCGGCUCAACAGGGGAGGGUCGUUGGAAACUGGGAGGCUUGAGUGCAGAAGAGGAGAGUGGAAUUCCAUGUGUAGCGGUGAAAUGCGUAGAUAUAUGGAGGAACACCAGUGGCGGAGGCGGCUCUCUGGUCUGUAACAGACGCUGAGGCUCGAAAGCGUGGGGAGCAAACAGG
This 429-nucleotide ribosomal RNA is filed under the name Gemmatimonadota bacterium. RNAcentral's name for it is "Gemmatimonadetes bacterium partial 16S ribosomal RNA". It matches the Rfam family "Bacterial small subunit ribosomal RNA", at positions 355 to 776 of the family's 1533-position model. The record is from RNAcentral. Lineage: Bacteria; Pseudomonadati; Gemmatimonadota.